UGGGGAAUAUUGGACAAUGGGCGCAAGCCUGAUCCAGCCAUGCCGCGUGAGUGAAGAAGGCCUUAGGGUUGUAAAGCUCUUUUAGCGGGGAAGAUAAUGACGGUACCCGCAGAAAAAGCACCGGCUAACUCCGUGCCAGCAGCCGCGGUAAUACGGAGGGUGCUAGCGUUGUUCGGAAUUACUGGGCGUAAAGCGCACGCAGGCGGCUUGUCAAGUCAGAUGUGAAAGCCCGGGGCUUAACCCCGGAAUUGCAUUUGAAACUGGCUCGCUAGAGAUAGGUAGAGGAGAGUGGAAUUCCCAGUGUAGAGGUGAAAUUCGUAGAUAUUGGGAGGAACACCGGAGGCGAAGGCGGCUCUCUGGACCUAUUCUGACGCUCAUGUGCGAAAGCGUGGGGAGCAAA
This 400-nucleotide ribosomal RNA is filed under the name uncultured bacterium. RNAcentral's name for it is "bacterial SSU rRNA". It matches the Rfam family "Bacterial small subunit ribosomal RNA", at positions 355 to 772 of the family's 1533-position model. The record is from RNAcentral.